GAUGAACGCUGGCUACAGGCUUAACACAUGCAAGUCGAGGGGAAACGACGGGGAAGCUUGCUUCCCCGGGCGUCGACCGGCGCACGGGUGAGUAACGCGUAUCCAACCUGCCUCUGACUGAGGGAUAACCCGUCGAAAGUCGGCCUAAUACCUCAUGGCAUCGUCUGCGGGCAUCCAACGACGAUUAAAGAUUUCAUCGGUCAGGGAUGGGGAUGCGUCUGAUUAGCUUGUUGGCGGGGUAACGGCCCACCAAGGCGACGAUCAGUAGGGGUUCUGAGAGGAGGGUCCCCCACAUUGGAACUGAGACACGGUCCAAACUCCUACGGGAGGCAGCAGUGAGGAAUAUUGGUCAAUGGGCGAGAGCCUGAACCAGCCAAGUAGCGUGCAGGAUGACGGCCCUAUGGGUUGUAAACUGCUUUUAUGCGGGGAUAAAGUGAGGGACGUGUCCUUCAUUGCAGGUACCGCAUAAUAAGGACCGGCUA
RNAcentral lists this ribosomal RNA (482 nucleotides) under Segatella oris. Its description in RNAcentral is "bacterial SSU rRNA". It matches the Rfam family "Bacterial small subunit ribosomal RNA", at positions 28 to 499 of the family's 1533-position model. Lineage: Bacteria; Pseudomonadati; Bacteroidota; Bacteroidia; Bacteroidales; Prevotellaceae. The record is from RNAcentral.